CGCACGGGUGCGUAACGCGUGGGAAUCUGCCCUUCGGUUCGGAAUAACAGUUAGAAAUGACUGCUAAGACCGGAUAAUGACGUAAGUCCAAAGAUUUAUCGCCGAAGGAUGAGCCCGCGUAGGAUUAGCUAGUUGGUGAGGUAAAAGCUCACCAAGGCGACGAUCCUUAGCUGGUCUGAGAGGAUGAUCAGCCACACUGGGACUGAGACACGGCCCAG
This 218-nucleotide ribosomal RNA is filed under the name uncultured bacterium. Its description in RNAcentral is "partial 16S ribosomal RNA". It matches the Rfam family "Bacterial small subunit ribosomal RNA", at positions 99 to 334 of the family's 1533-position model. The record is from RNAcentral.